Molecule: unclassified non-coding RNA, 216 nt
Filed under: uncultured Tomentella
Lineage: Eukaryota; Fungi; Basidiomycota; Agaricomycetes; Thelephorales; Thelephoraceae
Description: sequence contains ITS2
Source: RNAcentral
ACACCUCAACUCUCAUGGUUUUCCGUGAUGAGCUUGGACUUUGGGGGUUUGCUGGCUGCAGUCGGCUCCUCUGAAACAAAUUAGCUUGCCGGUAUUUGGUGGCGUCGCAGGUGUGAUAACUAUCUACGCUUGUGGUUUCCUGCCAGGUAUCCUUCAGUGAUGAAGGGUCGCUGGAGCUCAUAAAUGUCUCUCCCCAGUGAGGACGACUUCUUGAAU